Molecule: ribosomal RNA, 458 nt
Filed under: Euderomphale sp. RDB-1999
Lineage: Eukaryota; Metazoa; Arthropoda; Insecta; Hymenoptera; Eulophidae
Description: eukaryotic LSU rRNA
Source: RNAcentral
CCUGAGAAACCCAAAAGAUCGAAUGGGGAGAUUCAUCGCCAGCGGCGUUGGCUUACGUGUGGAUCGGCGAUGGCCGGGACCACCUCGGUCCCGCGUCACACGUCCACUGCGGCAUGUCCGACUGUCGGCGGCGUGCACUUCUCCCCUAGUAGGACGUCGCGACCCGUUGGGUGUCGGACCGAUGGCCGUUUGGUCGACUGUCUCGUCGCGCUCACGCGCGCACGUGGCAGACCAAUUCGGUCGAGCGUCCGACUGCUCGGCGGUAUAGAACGCUAUUACACGGUAACGGGCCGCAUUAAGUGCGUUCAGGCCCGUCGGCAGGCUCGUCUCGCUCGGAAUUACGGACCUAGUGCCGUUGCCGGGUGCUUGACGUGGCCGUUAGUCCUCGGUGCCCUCGGACUGGCUCUACAAUUCGUAAGGAUUUACCGGUCGGCGACGCUACUGCUUUGGGUACUUUC